RNAcentral lists this ribosomal RNA (495 nucleotides) under uncultured bacterium. RNAcentral describes it as "partial 16S ribosomal RNA". It matches the Rfam family "Bacterial small subunit ribosomal RNA", at positions 30 to 507 of the family's 1533-position model. The record is from RNAcentral.
UGAACGCUGGCGGCGUGCCUAAUACAUGCAAGUCGAGCGAACAGACGAGGAGCUUGCUCCUCUGACGUUAGCGGCGGACGGGUGAGUAACACGUGGAUAACCUACCUAUAAGACUGGGAUAACUUCGGGAAACCGGAGCUAAUACCGGAUAAUAUAUUGAACCGCAUGGUUCAAUAGUGAAAGACGGUUUUGCUGUCACUUAUAGAUGGAUCCGCGCCGCAUUAGCUAGUUGGUAAGGUAACGGCUUACCAAGGCAACGAUGCGUAGCCGACCUGAGAGGGUGAUCGGCCACACUGGAACUGAGACACGGUCCAGACUCCUACGGGAGGCAGCAGUAGGGAAUCUUCCGCAAUGGGCGAAAGCCUGACGGAGCAACGCCGCGUGAGUGAUGAAGGUCUUCGGAUCGUAAAACUCUGUUAUUAGGGAAGAACAAAUGUGCAAGUAACUAUGCACGUCUUGACGGUACCUAAUCAGAAAGCCACGGCUAACUACGUG